Molecule: non-coding RNA, 360 nt
Organism: Acanthochromis polyacanthus (spiny chromis)
Lineage: Eukaryota; Metazoa; Chordata; Actinopteri; Pomacentridae
Source: the annotation of a RefSeq genome assembly
AUGAUGAUGUCCCUGACUCUACUGCUGGCCACCCUGGGGCUCCUUGUUCAGGGUUCAUCAUCAGAAAUCAUCCUGACUCAGUCUCCUGGAUCUCAGUCCGUUGUUCCAGGACAAACUGUCUCCAUCACAUGUAGAAGCAGUCAGGAUAUUGAUGACGACCUGCACUGGUACCUUCAGAAAUCUGGAAAAUCUCCACAACUCCUGAUUUAUGGAGUUUCAACUCGUCAGUCUGGAGUUCCUGACCGUUUCAGUGGAAGUGGAUACGGAACUGACUUUACUCUGACCAUCAGUGGAGUUCAGGCUGAAGAUUCAGGAGUUUAUUACUGUCAGCAGGACGACAGCUACCCGUUCACACAGUGA